CCCCCUUACCUUUUUAGGCCAAACGCUAGCUCCUACUUCAGGAAAGACAGUAGCUCCCCCUGCUGACACAUCGCUCAUCUGAAAAGGUGGAAACAGCACAGCUGGGGAAAGAGGGAGGAAGCUGAGCGCGCAGCAGAGCUGACGCUUGCAACAGGCUAACGAAGUAGCCAAAAGAUCCAUUUUGAUGUCUUUAACAGUAUGGAAGAUGCCUCUGUCUCAGCUCUGGGGGGUGAAGUUCUCUCCCCACAUCGCACGCUUGCACGCUCUUAGAAACUGAUUGGCACCUUUCAAGACUCCUGAAGACGUGGACAGCCACAGGCUCCAAGGAGACCCAAGAUCCUUGGCUACAGGAGCAGCAGCACAUCCAAGACCAGUCCCACAAGCUGUUGUUUCCCCACUGCUUUGAACGUGUCCCGCUCCAGGUAAGGACACCAAGUACUCGCAGCCGCCACUGCUGUUACUGUAACCUGCUCUGACUCUGCUCCCAGCCCUCCUCCGUCCAACAACUGUCCUACAGCCGCCACAACGGGGACAGACCAAUCACUGACACCACCAGUUGUCUUCUCAGGAGGGUGCACACCCCUCUCUGCACCAGCCUGCCUAUAAUACAUGAACCUUUUGCGCAUUUCUGCUUGUAAUGGCUCACUUGGUUUUAUACCAGCACAUUCCCACCCCCCUUCCCCCAGGGUCCAAAAAUAAAACUUUCCUAUAAAAACCGUAAAGGCUGUUUCUCUUCAAAAUGGGUCAUGGCGCUUUUACAUUCUCCGUUCAAUUUUAAGUCACUUUUUGAUCUCGAUGUCUAUCAAGACCCACUGUCCUUUUUGCUGAUGGAUUUUUUUUCUUCUCCUCUAUGCAUUCAUACCCUCAAUUUUCAGCCAGAUGCUUGGGCACCUUAUCGUGAGGAAUCUUCAUGGAGCAGCAGCUUUCAUGGAACCACAGUCCUGCUUUCUAUACAUUAACACUCACUCUAAAUCGGCAAAGCAGCAUUCUAGCUGUUCACUUAAGAACCUCAAGGAUAUAAAAAGUACUUUUAAAAUAAAGCCUAUUUGAGGUACAUGUACAGUCAGUCUUUCCAUACUGCAGAGAUUCUGGACACACUGCCGGCCUUCUAGGACCACCGAGGCGAUGGGGAAUCAGAACAACCAUUCUUCCCCCAUGUCCUCAAAUAUGAGUCCAGCUCAACUCUUCACUAUUACCACAGAAGCAAAGUUUAACCUUACGGUAGCAAAACUGGAUUUUACUAGUAUAAUAAAAAUUAUACUAAUUUGCAUUCACUUUAGUAAGCAUCCCUCCAGCAAGAGAAAGCCAUUUCACACCUUAGUAAAAAGCAAGUACUGUACUAUUCUGCAAAGACAACUUUGUUUCUACCUCCCUGUAAAAACACAUCCCUUCUUCCCCCAGGCUUGGAUUAAGCCAGUUAUCAAAUUACUAGCUGGCCCUGGAUCAAAUCAGUUUUUGGGGCCACCUCACAGACGCCACCCGGGUGUGUACCAUGCUGCACACAGUCAUCCAGAAUGAACAGCCUGCUGACAGUCAUACUUGUUUUAAUGGUUUACCUGU
Long non-coding RNA from Dromaius novaehollandiae (emu), 1560 nucleotides. RefSeq lists it as uncharacterized. Lineage: Eukaryota; Metazoa; Chordata; Aves; Casuariiformes; Dromaiidae. The record is from RefSeq and is a predicted model, not a curated record. The transcript is spliced from 4 exons.